UUGUUCAGAAAGUCUGUUGUUGUAAACAUCCCCGACUGGAAGCUGUAAAGAUACAACUAAGCUUUCAGUCAGAUGUUUGCUGCUACCGGCUGUUCACGGACAUCACCUUGUUAUAACUAUAUCUG
This is a microRNA precursor of Dasypus novemcinctus (nine-banded armadillo), 125 nucleotides long. The record is from Ensembl. Lineage: Eukaryota; Metazoa; Chordata; Mammalia; Cingulata; Dasypodidae.